UGGCUCAGAGGUUAAAGCAUCUGCCUCCAAUGCAGGAGACCCAGGUUCGAUCCCUGG
Molecule: transfer RNA, 57 nt
Organism: Ovis aries (sheep)
Lineage: Eukaryota; Metazoa; Chordata; Mammalia; Artiodactyla; Bovidae
Rfam family: tRNA
About the family: Transfer RNA (tRNA) molecules are approximately 80 nucleotides in length.
Source: Rfam